This 478-nucleotide long non-coding RNA is filed under the name Malus domestica (apple). RNAcentral's name for it is "long non-coding RNA (MDOM_LNC001348)". The record is from RNAcentral. Lineage: Eukaryota; Viridiplantae; Streptophyta; Magnoliopsida; Rosales; Rosaceae.
UUGGCUUGAAAAAUGUAUGAUGUUUGCAACAUGCGUCACCGGAGUAUGAACUUGAAGCUCUCCCUCUCUCCGUCGUUAAAUGUUUCGUAAGCAGCAUUGUUAAAGUUCUCUAUGUCAGGGGGGAAUCUGAAGAUGGUUUUGAAUGAAGAAGAAUGGAAAAUAUAAUUUAGAAAAUGAGAAAGAAAAUUAUAAUUGAAACUAAAAAAAUGAGAAAUAUAAAAAGAGAUUUACUAUUUUCUAGGAGGUCUUGGAGUUGGCCGUGACUGUAUGAGAGGACAAGCUAAGUUCCAAUGGAAAGUGGAAAUUUUCAGAGCGAGAGGGUAGCGGUUUUUUCGCUUGCCCUCUUGGACUUUGGGCUUUUGGAUUGGAUUGGGCCAAGUACUUACUUAGGCCCCAUCCCAACUUAUGACCUUUUGUCGGUCUGUAUUGACUCAUGAGUCAGACUUGUAAGGCUGUCUUUAAUAAGUUGCCGCGUUUU